UUGUCGUCGGGCUGCUGGUGGUCGGGCGGUUGGUGUUCGCCCAGUAUCUGACGGCUCCGGCGUUGCAGGCGUGGGCGACGAUC
Molecule: transfer RNA, 83 nt
Filed under: Acrocarpospora pleiomorpha
Lineage: Bacteria; Bacillati; Actinomycetota; Actinomycetes; Streptosporangiales; Streptosporangiaceae
Description: tRNA-Thr
Source: RNAcentral